GCCCGGAUGGUGGAAUUGGUAGACACAAGGGAUUUAAAAUCCCUCGGCGUUCGCGCUGUGCGGGUUCAAGUCCCGCUCCGGGUACCA
Molecule: transfer RNA, 87 nt
Filed under: Escherichia coli
Lineage: Bacteria; Pseudomonadati; Pseudomonadota; Gammaproteobacteria; Enterobacterales; Enterobacteriaceae
Also listed under: 4 other names
Description: tRNA-Leu
Rfam family: tRNA
About the family: Transfer RNA (tRNA) molecules are approximately 80 nucleotides in length. Their secondary structure includes four short double-helical elements and three loops (D, anti-codon, and T loops).
Source: RNAcentral